RNAcentral lists this small nuclear RNA (104 nucleotides) under Castor canadensis (American beaver). Lineage: Eukaryota; Metazoa; Chordata; Mammalia; Rodentia; Castoridae. The record is from RNAcentral.
GUGCUUGUUUCAACAACACAUAUGCUAAAAUUGGAAUGAUACAGAGAAAACUAGCAUGGCCUGUUAAGGAUGACAUGUAAAUUUGUGAAGUGUUCAUAAAAUAU